GUGGCAGUAAAGGCUUGAGUACGACCUGUCAGAAUCAUAAGUCUCAAAGCCCCGACGAGUAGGGUGGCGUGCCGGUGAGCGUAGAAGGCCAAGACGUGAGUCGGGCUGGAGCCGCCGGUAGUGCAGAUCUUGGUGGUAGUAGCAAGUACUCUGGUGAACAACCUGGAGCUGUGAGGUAUGGAUCAGGGUUCCAUGUCAACAGUGAUUGAACAUGGGUGAGUCGUUUCUAAGCCAGCUGCUACGGCAGUGACAUCCCGAUGAGGGGUAUCGCAGUGAUUCUGAUUCCAGUUUUGGUUUGGCACCCAGCGAAUUGAUCAGGCACGCUCCUGGCAUUGCUCGGCGAGACGUAAAACUCUACGACCCCGGCAAGAAAGGUUGAGCGGCAGGCAAUAAGCACGGACAGAUGUGCUUCUGUGAAUGGUUACGCUCACGAGCGUAGAGUGGAAGCUGGCCACUCGGGUAUAUAUGGAAAGGACAGGAUCAAACACUGCGUACUCUGAGUCGGUUCCAUGUCCGGCGAAAGAGAAUAAGGAAUUUUUUCCGUGACCGGUCCCGGCAUUCUCGACUGGCUUUGCCAGUCAUUGAUCCAUGUAAAUGGAACCAGGCCACAGACGCCGGCAGUUGCCCGAGGAAGAGUUUUCUUUUCUGCUUGACGCACGAGGUCAUCCCUGGAAACAGUUCGGCUGGCGAAAGGGUGCUCCGUUGCGGCAGAGCGCCACGACUGUCGUGCGCGUCUUGGAGUUCCUGCCGGUCCUUGAAAAUGUGGUCUAGGGAAGGAAUGCUACUUACUUUGUAUCAACGAAACGUCCGACAAGUUCGGGACAGACCGUACCCUAUAUCCGCAUCUGGUCUCCAAGGUUCUAAGCCUCUGCAGAGUCUGACACAUGUAGGUAAGGGAAGUCGGCAAAAUCGAUCCGUAACUUCGGGAGAAGGAUUGGCUCUGAGGGCCGAGCUGGGCCGGGCCUUGCCUGCUAAGCAGUACCUCUCUAGUGUGACCGGAGUUUAAGGAGUGCGUCGGACUUUAGUACAUGUUCACGCGUCUUUGCGCGCGUGGAUACGAAAGAGUUCACGUCUCCGCUCCAACCGCACGAAAGGCUGUGACGACAAGGACUUUGGGCGGGAGCGUUCAAACCCGUCAGCCCCAGCGAGUCUGUGUGGCGCGGGGCUCCGUCUGUCCCAUACGGCUCCAGCAGCCAGCGGCUAACUCAGAACUGUCAUGGACCAAGGGAAUCCGACUGUCUAAUUAAAACAAAGCGUCGUGACGGCCCCUGUUGGGUGUUGACGCGACGUGAUUUCUGCCCAGUGCUC
This 1308-nucleotide ribosomal RNA is filed under the name Niphargus valachicus. RNAcentral describes it as "eukaryotic LSU rRNA". It matches the Rfam family "Eukaryotic large subunit ribosomal RNA", at positions 1357 to 2210 of the family's 3401-position model. The record is from RNAcentral. Lineage: Eukaryota; Metazoa; Arthropoda; Malacostraca; Amphipoda; Niphargidae.